RNAcentral lists this ribosomal RNA (505 nucleotides) under uncultured bacterium. Its description in RNAcentral is "bacterial SSU rRNA". It matches the Rfam family "Bacterial small subunit ribosomal RNA", at positions 501 to 1008 of the family's 1533-position model. The record is from RNAcentral.
CUACGUGCCAGCAGCCGCGGUAAUACGGAAGGUCCGGGCGUUAUCCGGAUUUAUUGGGUUUAAAGGGAGCGUAGGCUGGAGAUUAAGUGUGUUGUGAAAUGUAGACGCUCAACGUCUGACUUGCAGCGCAUACUGGUUUCCUUGAGUACGCACAACGUUGGCGGAAUUCGUCGUGUAGCGGUGAAAUGCUUAGAUAUGACGAAGAACUCCGAUUGCGAAGGCAGCUGACGGGAGCGCAACUGACGCUGAAGCUCGAAGGUGCGGGUAUCGAACAGGAUUAGAUACCCUGGUAGUCCGCACAGUAAACGAUGGAUGCCCGCUGUUGGUACCUGGUAUCAGCGGCUAAGCGAAAGCAUUAAGCAUCCCACCUGGGGAGUACGCCGGCAACGGUGAAACUCAAAGGAAUUGACGGGGGCCCGCGCAAGCGGAGGAACAUGUGGUUUAAUUCGAUGAUACGCGAGGAACCUUACCCGGGCUUGAAUUGCAGAGGAAGUAUUUAGAGAUA